AUGAGUUCCAGAAAGCCGGGUUCUCAAUCUCAUGGACAACAAUCUGCAGAAGAAGACAACUUCAAAAAACCAACUAGAAGCAACAUGCAGAGAUGAGAGGGGCCUCCUCAGGAAAGAAGGCAGCUGGUCCACAGCAGAAAAAUCUUGAACCACCUCUCUCAGGAAGAUGUGGGGUCGCUCUGCAGAGAACUUCUUAGCUUCAGGAUCCGUGAGGAAGACCAGAAAGAACAAACAGAGGACUCCUGGAAACAGAUAUGGGGGCAGUACCAGCAAAGCACCUCAGACCCCAGGGAAGGAAAGAGCCUGGGCAGACCUCACUGUUGAAAGCGAGGACGCAUUUAAGAACAGAAUGGAAGUUAAAGUGAAGAUGCCUGAAGAAUCGAAACCAUGGCUUGCUGGGGACUGGAACUUAGUUACCAAGCAGAAGCAGCUGUUUUAACUCCCUGCUAAGCAAAAUGUAGAUGCAAUUCUAAAGGAGUAUGCAAAUUGUAAAACAUCGCAGGGAAACGUCGAUAAUAAGGCAUAGGCAGUUAAUGAAAUUGUGACAAGAAUAAAAGAAUAUUUCGACGUGAUGUUAGGCACUCAGCUGCUCUACAAAUUUGAGAGGCCCCUGUAUGCAGAAAUCCUCUUGGCUCACCCUGAUGCUCCUGUGUCCCAGGUUUAAGGGGCACACACCUACUGAGGUUAUUUGUAAGAAUAGGAGAAAUGUUGGCCUAUAUAUCCCUUGAUGAGAAGAGCCUUGCGUUAUUGUUGGGCCAUUUGCAUGAUUUCCUAAAAUAUCUGGCAAAGAAUUCUGCAUCUCUUUUUACUGGCGGUGAUUACAAAGUAGCUUCUGCUAAGUACCACCACAAAGCCCUG
Molecule: long non-coding RNA, 858 nt
Filed under: Homo sapiens (human)
Lineage: Eukaryota; Metazoa; Chordata; Mammalia; Primates; Hominidae
Description: non-protein coding lnc-GSX2-5:1
Source: RNAcentral